RNAcentral lists this ribosomal RNA (497 nucleotides) under uncultured bacterium. RNAcentral's name for it is "partial 16S ribosomal RNA". It matches the Rfam family "Bacterial small subunit ribosomal RNA", at positions 28 to 507 of the family's 1533-position model. The record is from RNAcentral.
GAUGAACGCUGGCGGCGUGCCUAAUACAUGCAAGUCGAGCGAACAGACGAGGAGCUUGCUCCUCUGACGUUAGCGGCGGACGGGUGAGUAGCACGUGGAUAACCUACCUAUAAGACUGGGAUAACUUCGGGAAACCGGAGCUAAUACCGGAUAAUAUAUUGAACCGCAUGGUUCAAUAGUUAAAGACGGUUUUGCUGUCACUUAUAGAUGGAUCCGCGCCGCAUUAGCUAGUUGGUAAGGUAACGGCUUACCAAGGCGACGAUGCGUAGCCGACCUGAGAGGGUGAUCGGCCACACUGGAACUGAGACACGGUCCAGACUCCUACGGGAGGCAGCAGUAGGGAAUCUUCCGCAAUGGGCGAAAGCCUGACGGAGCAACGCCGCGUGAGUGAUGAAGGUCUUCGGAUCGUAAAACUCUGUUAUUAGGGAAGAACAAAUGUGUAAGUAACUAUGCACGUCUUGACGGUACCUAAUCAGAAAGCAACGGCUAACUACGUG